GAUGAACGCUAGCUACAGGCUUAACACAUGCAAGUCGAGGGGAAACGGCAUUUAGUGCUUGCACCGAAUGGACGUCGACCGGCGCACGGGUGAGUAACGCGUAUCCAACCUUCCCAUAACUAAGGAAUAACCUGCCGAAAGGCAGACUAAUACCUUAUGUAAUCCUUUGAUGGCAUCAGAUUAGGAUAAAAGAUUUAUCGGUUAUGGAUGGGGAUGCGUCUGAUUAGCUUGUUGGCGGGGUAACGGCCCACCAAGGCAACGAUCAGUAGGGGUUCUGAGAGGAAGGUCCCCCACAUUGGAACUGAGACACGGUCCAAACUCCUACGGGAGGCAGCAGUGAGGAAUAUUGGUCAAUGGACGGAAGUCUGAACCAGCCAAGUAGCGUGCAGGAAGACGGCCCUAUGGGUUGUAAACUGCUUUUGUAUGGGGAUAAAGUCAAUCACGUGUGAUUGUUUGCAGGUACCAUACGAAUAAGGACCGGCUAAUUCCGUGCCAGCAGCCGCGGUAAUACGGAAGGUUCGGGCGUUAUCCGGAUUUAUUGGGUUUAAGGGAGCGUAGGCCGGAGAUUAAGUGUGUUGUGAAAUGUAGACGCUCAACGUCUGACUUGCAGCGCAUACUGGUUUCCUUGAGUACGCACAACGUUGGCGGAAUUCGUCGUGUAGCGGUGAAAUGCUUAGAUAUGACGAAGAACUCCGAUUGCGAAGGCAGCUGACGGGAGCGCAACUGACGCUGAAGCUCGAAGGUGCGGGUAUCGAACAGG
RNAcentral lists this ribosomal RNA (760 nucleotides) under Prevotella melaninogenica. RNAcentral describes it as "bacterial SSU rRNA". It matches the Rfam family "Bacterial small subunit ribosomal RNA", at positions 28 to 776 of the family's 1533-position model. The record is from RNAcentral. Lineage: Bacteria; Pseudomonadati; Bacteroidota; Bacteroidia; Bacteroidales; Prevotellaceae.